RNAcentral lists this non-coding RNA (100 nucleotides) under Clostridium colicanis 209318. RNAcentral's name for it is "Purine riboswitch aptamer". It matches the Rfam family "Purine riboswitch aptamer". From Rfam's summary of the family: Riboswitches are metabolite binding domains within certain messenger RNAs that serve as precision sensors for their corresponding targets. Allosteric rearrangement of mRNA structure is mediated by ligand binding, and this results in modulation of gene expression. A class of riboswitches that selectively recognises guanine and becomes saturated at concentrations as low as 5 nM. The record is from Rfam by way of RNAcentral. Lineage: Bacteria; Bacillati; Bacillota; Clostridia; Eubacteriales; Clostridiaceae.
AUAAAAAAUAAAUUUUUAUUUUGUAUAAUCUCUAUAAUAUGGUUAGAGAGUUUCUACCAAGAGCCGUAAAUUCUUGAUUACAAAGAUAAUAGGUGAGUUU